This 74-nucleotide transfer RNA is filed under the name Coprobacillus cateniformis. RNAcentral's name for it is "tRNA-Arg". It matches the Rfam family "tRNA". From Rfam's summary of the family: Transfer RNA (tRNA) molecules are approximately 80 nucleotides in length. Their secondary structure includes four short double-helical elements and three loops (D, anti-codon, and T loops). Lineage: Bacteria; Bacillati; Bacillota; Erysipelotrichia; Erysipelotrichales; Coprobacillaceae. The record is from RNAcentral.
GUACUUGUAGCAAAGUUGGUAAUGCACUCGACUUCUAAUAGAGGGUAUGGGUUCAACCACUUCCAAGUAUACUA